AACUUUCAACAACGGAUCUCUUGGUUCUGGCAUCGAUGAAGAACGCAGCGAAAACGAUAAGUAAUGUGAAUUGCAGAAUUCAGUGAAUCAUCGAAUCUUUGAACGCACAUUGCGCCCUCUGGUAUUCCGGAGGGCAUGCCUGUUCGAGCGUCAUAA
RNAcentral lists this ribosomal RNA (156 nucleotides) under Helotiales sp. AU_CryS02. RNAcentral's name for it is "5.8S ribosomal RNA". It matches the Rfam family "5.8S ribosomal RNA". From Rfam's summary of the family: 5.8S ribosomal RNA (5.8S rRNA) is a component of the large subunit of the eukaryotic ribosome. It is transcribed by RNA polymerase I as part of the 45S precursor that also contains 18S and 28S rRNA. Functionally, it is thought that 5.8S rRNA may be involved in ribosome translocation. Lineage: Eukaryota; Fungi; Ascomycota; Leotiomycetes; Helotiales. The record is from RNAcentral.